Molecule: long non-coding RNA, 1212 nt
Organism: Phascolarctos cinereus (koala)
Lineage: Eukaryota; Metazoa; Chordata; Mammalia; Diprotodontia; Phascolarctidae
Source: RefSeq, a predicted model, not a curated record
ACCAAAAUGAACCAUCAUCACUCCGUGCUUACAAAGGGCUGGGCACAAAGUAGGAUGGGUACUGAGUGUAGAAAAGCUGGAGAAAUCACAGAAUGAGACUGAAAUGAGAUAUUACUGGGCAGUAACAGAUGAUAACUGAGGAAUCCAGAGAAGCAUGGGAAGAUUCACAUGAACAGAUGCAGUGGAAAAGAAAACACAGCUGAGCCUGGUGCCUAGUCACUGACAACCCAGGUCGAAACGAAAAGAUCACGCAAAAUGAGCUACAACUCCAAGUAACGGCCGAGCCAGUGAUGGUCUGAAAGAGGAGAAAACAAUACCCCAACCCUCCCACAUGACACACUGGGCCAGCUGGAAGGACAAAAUGCCAUAGUCACAGUCAGUCAGACAAGGCAUCAUGCUAUCAUAGAUUGCUGUUUUUUAUCAUGACAAGGGAAGGGAAGGAAAGAAUGUGGUCAAAGGGCAAAAAGAGGUGUUUCAAAUCAAAAUUCCUUCUAUUUCUGUCCUGGUCACCCUGGCUUGCAACCUAAGAAUCCUCCUCCUCGCUCCAUAUCCAACCAAUGGCCAAGUACUGGCAAUUCUACUUCUUCCCCUUCUCUCCCCUCCCACCACAACCACCCUAGACCAGGCCCUCAUCGCCCCUCAGCUGCUGCUUCCUAACUGGUCCCCCUGUAGCCAGCCUCUCCCUUCUCUGGUCAGGCCUCCCCACAGCUGGACCAUCCGAAAGAAAAGGUGUGAUCAUGUUAUCCUCUGCUCAAGAAACUUCAGGGGCUCCUCGCUGUCUUCAGGAUGAAACUCAAGUUCCUCUCUUGGGCACCAGAAGCCCUUCACAAUCUGGCUCUGCUCUACCUUUCCAGACACUGUACAAAGGCAGAGGUAACAGAGGAAGACAAGAGAACGGAAUGGUCCAGGAACAAGAGCGUCAGAAGGAAGUAUAAAGUUUAAAGCAAAUUAAGGCUUGAGGCCAUGUGGGAGAGCGGGACGUGCGCUGGCGGGCUUGGAAUCGAGACUUCUGGGUUCACAACCCAGCUCCACUCGUCAGCCAGACAACCACGUUCGUGUUGCUUCCCGCCUGAGACUAUUUCUUCUGCAAAAUGAAACCAAUCUUUUCACCCCUUUCCUUGGGAACCACUGACCACAAGCUGCUGCUGGCAGUACCAGGUUCUAGUACCUUUCUUGCUUCAUUCACCACACUGGCGAGCACUUCCCAGAGAU